RNAcentral lists this transfer RNA (81 nucleotides) under Lactobacillus kefiranofaciens. RNAcentral's name for it is "tRNA-Asp". It matches the Rfam family "tRNA". From Rfam's summary of the family: Transfer RNA (tRNA) molecules are approximately 80 nucleotides in length. Their secondary structure includes four short double-helical elements and three loops (D, anti-codon, and T loops). The record is from RNAcentral. Lineage: Bacteria; Bacillati; Bacillota; Bacilli; Lactobacillales; Lactobacillaceae.
GGUCCAUUGGAGCAGUGGUUUAUCUCGCCUCCCUGUCACGGAGGAGAUCGUGGGUUCAAAUCCCACAUCCCACAUGGACCG